AUGUUUCCAAUUACCUACUCAAACAUCGAUGUGCCUAUUGAUUUCCCCAAGGUUACAUACCAGCGAUAUGAUUCUCUUCAUUGUUAUUGCUUCUAGACCUGCUUCCUUCCUUCUCUCGCCCCUCUAAUCCUUCUCUCUCCCCUCUAAACCAAAGAUGAUAAUCUGCUUCCUUCCUUCUCUUCCCCUCUAAUCCAGUAAAACAUCUGCCCUAGACGCUCUAUAAUUUCAACUAUAUAGAAUCCUUUGUCGUUCUCGACUUUGGUGUGUGGCUGUUCUUCGUUGAAAUGAUUUAUUUUUCAAGGGACUUCAUCUUUAUUAAGAUUGAAGUUCAUGGGAUUUUAUAUGUCAAUUCAACAUAUGCAAACUAGGUGUUUGAUGACAUGCCUCAAUACAACAAGACUUUCAAGCAUCUCGAUUCAAGCUAAUAUUGAGGUUCUAAGUAAUCUAGAGAAGGCAACUUAUCGCUUUUCUAAUACAUUCUUCUUCAUACAUCUUAUCGGCAGGCACAAAGGCAAG
Molecule: long non-coding RNA, 516 nt
Organism: Cynara cardunculus var. scolymus (artichoke)
Lineage: Eukaryota; Viridiplantae; Streptophyta; Magnoliopsida; Asterales; Asteraceae
Exons: 3
Source: RefSeq, a predicted model, not a curated record